AACGGACGCUGGCGGCAUGCCUAACACAUGCAAGUCGAACGAUGCCUUCGGGCAUAGUGGCGCACGGGUGCGUAACGCGUGGGAAUCUGCCCUUGGCUUCGGAAUAACAGUUAGAAAUGACUGCUAAUACCGGAUGAUGUCCCCCUGAGAGAUCUUGGGGACCAAAGAUUUAUCGGCCAGGGAUGAGCCCGCGUAGGAUUAGGUAGUUGGUGGGGUAAAGGCCUACCAAGCCGACGAUCCUUAGCUGGUCUGAGAGGAUGAUCAGCCACACUGGGACUGAGACACGGCCCAGACUCCUACGGGAGGCAGCAGUGGGGAAUAUUGGACAAUGGGGGGAACCCUGAUCCAGCAAUGCCGCGUGAGUGAUGAAGGCCUUAGGGUUGUAAAGCUCUUUUACCAGGGAUGAUAAUGACAGUACCUGGAGAAUAAGCUCCGGCUAACUCCGUG
Molecule: ribosomal RNA, 447 nt
Filed under: uncultured bacterium
Lineage: Bacteria
Description: partial 16S ribosomal RNA
Rfam family: Bacterial small subunit ribosomal RNA
Source: RNAcentral